UUAAACGACGAUGGAAAACGUGAGCAAAAACGUAUCGGUGUGCACGGGCCUUAAGACUGGUUACUCACUAAAGCACAGAGUAGCCUGGUUAGUACAUGGAUGGGAAACCAAAUGGGAAAACUUGGUAGCUGUUAAAA
RNAcentral lists this ribosomal RNA (137 nucleotides) under Danio rerio (zebrafish). The record is from RNAcentral. Lineage: Eukaryota; Metazoa; Chordata; Actinopteri; Cypriniformes; Danionidae.